RNAcentral lists this ribosomal RNA (440 nucleotides) under uncultured bacterium. RNAcentral describes it as "bacterial SSU rRNA". It matches the Rfam family "Bacterial small subunit ribosomal RNA", at positions 338 to 795 of the family's 1533-position model. The record is from RNAcentral.
CCUACGGGGGGCUGCAGUGGGGAAUAUUGCACAAUGGGGGAAACCCUGAUGCAGCAACGCCGCGUGAGCGAUGAAGGCCUUCGGGUCGUAAAGCUCUGUCCUAAGGGAAGAAUACUGACGGUACCUUAGGAGGAAGCCCCGGCUAACUACGUGCCAGCAGCCGCGGUAAUACGUAGGGGGCUAGCGUUAUCCGGAAUUACUGGGCGGAAAGGGUGCGUAGGCGGCCCUUCAAGUCAGAGGUGAAAGGCUACGGCUCAACCGUAGUAAGCGUUUGAAAAUGUAGGGCUUGAGUGCAGGAGAGGAGAGUGGCAUUCGCAGUGUAGAGGUGAAAUGAGGAGGUAUUGGGAGGAAGACCAGUUGAGAAGGCGGGUCUCUGGACUGUAACGGACGCGGAGGCACGAAAGCGUGGGGAGCGGACAGGAUGAGAUACCCGUGUAGUC